UCUGUGGGAGACUAUCAGUACGUAGUUUCAAAAAUAAUAUACGUCAGAAAGGAUACCAUUCUGAUCAACCUAUUUGUACCACCUUCAUAAAGGGCAGCAUAUAAUACAUAAACAUAAAUAUAAGUUUAAACAAGGGUAUUCUGUAUUGUCCUAUUGAUCUUAACCGGAUGUUUAUCUAAGAUCAAGAGAUGUGGUACCUAAUAGCAACAAGUCUCGUACUCCUCUCUCUAGCUAAACUUGGAUACUGUGAAGAAGGUGCAUCAUCUGAAGAAGAGCCUGAUAUUGUCUACCGACCAGGAACUGGAACUAUUUGUCCACCAAGAGCUGUUUGCGCUGAUGCAUUUAACUAUCAGCAGACACGUAAUGACGUCACCAACACCAUGAACAGAGUCAUCUAUAAUUGUCGAUGUUCCAGGGAAUCCGUAGAAGUCUGCCCUGUAAAUGAUGCACACAUGCUUCAUUCUAGCCCCAUUCAUAAACAAUAUUUAUGUCGACCGGUCGCAACUUAUCCUAAAUGUAAUUUAGAUGAGCCUACACAGGUUGCUGAAGAAAUGGAGGAAAAUUCACCAGACUUCGCAUUAAGAAAUUAUUUCAGGAUAAACUGCGUCUGUCCUCGUCAUGGGCUUCCGGUAGCUCGGGUUCGGGGAACACUCCAGAGAGCAACUUCUUACACCAGAACAAAAAUUGACUAUGGUCGAUUCAGAUUCUUCCAGCAGUUUGUCUGUAGGGUUUAAGAUUUGUGCAACUUGAUAUCAAAGUGGACAUGGAAGAAUAUCAUCAGACGAUCAAGUCAUGUUCAUGAUAAAUGUUUGUACAUUUCGCUCAGUAUCUGAAUACAGCAAAUCCAAACCCAAUUAAGUUUAAAGUGUGACGUUUCCUAGAUUUAAGUGUAAUAAUACUUUUGACCAGAGCCAAAAUACCAACUUUUAAUGGGUCCAUUUGAUUUAGUUAGGGUUCAUUAUACCGAAUAUUUACUGCUGAACGAUACCAAAUCAAUACAGGACAAAUUUUCUAAAUGGGAGAUCUGUACUCCAAUAGCUUUUCUUCUGUCAAAAGGUUUAUUGCAAUAUGCAUUAUAUCAAGGUUCGUUUGAUUUUGUUUAUAGGAAACAAAAAUAAAUUUUGUCUUGUACAUAAUGCAUAAGUAAAAUAAUUAAAUUUUGAAAAAUGCCGGCUUCUAAUUUAUUACCGCCAUUUGUUGUUUUAAUAUUCGAGAAACCAUCACUUCGAGUUUCAGUUCAAACAUCGGUGAUAUUAUCUCCAAACACAAACAAUUAUGGUAUAUUCGCAACAAUAAAAGAUAUCAAGUUAUAUAUGAAUUUUCACAAUAGCAACCAAUGCCCUAACACACAUAAUCCGGAUGCGGUGGGCGUUCGUCUAAACAUAAUAUUUUAAAAUGUUACUAUUCUAAUCAAACAAAGUGAAUGAGUCGUCAAUAAUUUGUAAUUUAUGGUUGUGUUCUCUGAAUAUUGUUUAAAUAAAGGAUAUGUUAUUAAAAUCA
Long non-coding RNA from Patella vulgata (common limpet), 1500 nucleotides. RefSeq lists it as uncharacterized. The transcript is spliced from 7 exons. The record is from RefSeq and is a predicted model, not a curated record. NCBI's taxonomy places the organism in Eukaryota, Metazoa, Mollusca, Gastropoda, Patellidae.